GACGAACGCUGGCGGCGUGCUUAACACAUGCAAGUCGAACGAGAGCGUAGAGAAAGCUUGCUUUUUCUACAAUCUAGUGGCAAACGGGUGAGUAACGCGUAAACAACCUGCCCUACGGAUGGGGACAACAGCUGGAAACGGCUGCUAAUACCGAAUACGUUCCGAAAGUCGCAUGACUAUCGGAAGAAAGGAUGGCCUCUAUUUAUAAGCUAUCGCCGGAGGAGGGGUUUGCGUCUGAUUAGCUAGUUGGAGGGGUAACGGCCCACCAAGGCGACGAUCAGUAGCCGGUCUGAGAGGAUGAGCGGCCACAUUGGGACUGAGACACGGUCCAGACUCCUACGGGAGGCAGCAGUGGGGAUUCUGCCGCAAUGGGUGAAAGCCUGACGGAGCAACGCCGCGUGAGUGAAGACGGCCUUCGGGUUGUAAAGCUCUGUUAUACGGGACGAAUAAUCUUGUGGUUAAUACCCAUGAGAAGUGACGGUACCGGAAGAGAAAGCCACGGCUAACUACGUG
Molecule: ribosomal RNA, 513 nt
Filed under: uncultured bacterium
Lineage: Bacteria
Description: partial 16S ribosomal RNA
Rfam family: Bacterial small subunit ribosomal RNA
Source: RNAcentral